Transfer RNA from Homo sapiens (human), 71 nucleotides. It matches the Rfam family "tRNA". From Rfam's summary of the family: Transfer RNA (tRNA) molecules are approximately 80 nucleotides in length. Lineage: Eukaryota; Metazoa; Chordata; Mammalia; Primates; Hominidae. The record is from Rfam.
GCACUGGUGGUUCAGUGGUAGAAUUCUCGCCUCCCACGCGGGAGACCCGGGUUCAAUUCCCGGUCAAGAUA